Delphinapterus leucas (beluga whale) is the source of this 1163-nucleotide non-coding RNA. The record is from RefSeq and is a predicted model, not a curated record. Lineage: Eukaryota; Metazoa; Chordata; Mammalia; Artiodactyla; Monodontidae.
AAGGAAGGAGAUCCUGACACGGGCGACAGCAUGGAUGAGCCUUGGGGACAUUGUGCUCAGAGAAAUUAGCCAGACACAGAAGGACAAAUCCUGUGUGAUUCCACUCCCGUGAGGUCUCCAGAGUCAUCACAUCCAUAGAGACAGGAAGCAGACGUGGGGAAAAGAAGAAGAGAAAACAAGAAACACAGCAGUGGGGACCUCUCACUCAGACACAGCCCCACUCUGCGCCCUGGUGUUGUGGGAACAGAGCUGCUGUGAGAGGGGACAGGAGGCGGUGACCAGCGACCUGGAGAAGGCUGGCCAGGCCAGGAGAUGCCACACCCGGGGCAGGACGGGCCCGACGUCACCCCCUGGAAGCAAUUCCAAGAGACGAGCGGCAAUCUGCUGUCUGCUAAGGGGGCUUUGGCCAAAGACGCUCUUUUCAGGUGCAGGUCCAGCCUCCCCACACACCCAGCCCAGGCGAUGCAGCGCGCCACCUGAAACUGCAGCAUCUCAGUGCACGGCCACUGCUCACGGGGUGUCCGCGAGGUGCCCCUGCCAGGGCCAGCACAGGGCCCGGAGGCCCUCCGGCCAACACAGGCUCGCACGUUUUGGCGCUCGGGAUUCCAUGGGGCUUCACUACUUUUGUACCAAAUGUCUUAAGUCAUGGCCUGAUGUUAGGCCCUAACCCUACCCCUAACCCCUGAAUGUGUCCCUGCAAGUUCAUAUGCUGGAGUCCUAACCCCAGGAACUCAGAAUGUGAGUGUACUUGGAGAUGGGGUCUUUAAAGGAGUGAUUAAGGUAAAAUGAGGCCAUUAGGGGUGGGCCUAAUCCCAUAGGACUGGGAAGAAGAGGAGAUCAGGACACAGACACACACAGAGGGAUGACCCCGUGAGGACACAGGGCCGUCUACACGCCGAGGAGAGAGGCCUCAGGAGGACCCAGCCCUGCCCACAGCUGGAUCGCGGAUUCUAGCCUCCAGGACUGGAGACAGUUAUUUCUGUGUCCUGGUUGCUUGGGCACUGACACGGCCCAGUGAAAUGACCCACCUCUGCCGCGUCUUUCCACCUGGAAUCUGGAGAGCGUGGUCCACUGUGGCUCUGGUCCCCAAGAGCCUGGCCGCUGCCUCUCGGACUCUGUGUGUCACCAGGAAGUCCCAUUGUGGCGUGGAGCACCGGCUUCUC